CUACGGGCGGCUCCAGUGAGGAAUAUUGCACAAUGGGGGGGACCCUGAUGCGGCAACGCCGCGUGGAGGAUGACGCAUUUCGGUGUGUAAACUCCUUUUAUAUGUCAAGAAAAUGACGGUAGCAUAUGAAUAAGCACCGGCUAACUCCGUGCCAGCAGCCGCGGUAAUACGGAGGGUGCAAGCGUUACUCGGAAUCACUGGGCGUAAAGGACGCGUAGGCGGGUUGGAAAGUCAGGUGUGAAAUCCUACAGCUUAACUGUAGAACUGCACUUGAAACUUCUAAUCUAGAGUAUGGGAGGGGGAGAUGGAAUUAGUGGUGUAGGGGUAAAAUCCGUAGAUAUCACUAGGAAUACCUAAAGCGAAGGCGAUCUCCUGGAACAUUACUGACGCUAAGGCGUGAAAGCGUGGGGAGCAAACAGGAUUAGAUACCCUAGUAGUC
This 439-nucleotide ribosomal RNA is filed under the name uncultured bacterium. RNAcentral's name for it is "partial 16S ribosomal RNA". It matches the Rfam family "Bacterial small subunit ribosomal RNA", at positions 339 to 795 of the family's 1533-position model. The record is from RNAcentral.